UAGGGAAUCUUCGGCAAUGGGGGCAACCCUGACCGAGCAACGCCGCGUGAGUGAAAAAGGUUUUCGGAUCGUAAAGCUCUGUUGUAAGUCAAGAACGGGUGUGAGAGUGGAAAGUUCACACUGUGACGGUAGCUUACCAGAAAGGGACGGCUAACUACGUGCCAGCAGCCGCGGUAAUACGUAGGUCCCGAGCGUUGUCCGGAUUUAUUGGGCGUAAAGCGAGCGCAGGCGGUUUGAUAAGUCUGAAGUUAAAGGCUGUGGCUCAACCAUAGUUCGCUUUGGAAACUGUCAAACUUGAGUGCAGAAGGGGAGAGUGGAAUUCCAUGUGUAGCGGUGAAAUGCGUAGAUAUAUGGAGGAACACCGGUGGCGAAAGCGGCUCUCUGGUCUGUAACUGACGCUGAGGCUCGAAAGGCGUGGGGAGCGAACAGGAUUAGAUACCCUGGUAGUCCACGCCGUAAACGAUGAGUGCUAGGUGUUGGAUCCUUUCCGGGAUUCAGUGCCGCAGCUAACGCAUUAAGCACUCCGCCUGGGGAGUACGACCGCAAGGUUGAAAC
This 555-nucleotide ribosomal RNA is filed under the name uncultured bacterium. RNAcentral describes it as "partial 16S ribosomal RNA". It matches the Rfam family "Bacterial small subunit ribosomal RNA", at positions 355 to 900 of the family's 1533-position model. The record is from RNAcentral.